Molecule: ribosomal RNA, 611 nt
Filed under: uncultured bacterium
Lineage: Bacteria
Description: bacterial SSU rRNA
Rfam family: Bacterial small subunit ribosomal RNA
Source: RNAcentral
UGAGGUUAAAGGAUAUAUCCGGCAUAGGAUGGACAUGCGUCUCAUUACGUAGACGGCGGGGUAACGGCCCACCGUGCCGACUAUGCGUAGGGGUUCUGAGAGGAAGGCCCCCCACACUGGUACUGAGACACGGACCAGACUCCUACGGGAGGCAGCAUUGAGGAAUAUUGGUCAAUGGCCAAGAGGCUGAACCAUCCAAUUGGCGUGAGGGAAGAAUGUCCUAAGGAUUGUAAACCUCUUUUGUCGGGGAGCAAAAAGGCUCUGCGGAGUCGUAUUGAGAGUACCCGAAGAAAAAGCAUCGGCUAACUCCGUGCCAGCAGCCGCGGUAAUACGGAGGAUGCGAGCGUUAUCCGGAUUUAUUGGGUUUAAAGGGUGCGCAGGCGGCGUGUCAAGUAAGCGGUAAAAUAGCGGGGCUCAACCCCGUCGAGCCGUUUGAACUGGCGCCCUUGAGUUCAGGCGAGGUAGGCGGAAUUCGUGGUGUAGCGGUGAAAUGCAUAGAUAUCACGAAGAACUCCGAUUGCGAAGGCAGCUUACCAGUGUUCGACUGACGCUCAGGCACGAAAGUGCGGGUAUCGAACAGGAUUAGAUACCCUGGUAGUCCACACAGUAAA